RNAcentral lists this unclassified non-coding RNA (652 nucleotides) under Hevea brasiliensis (rubber tree). The record is from RNAcentral. Lineage: Eukaryota; Viridiplantae; Streptophyta; Magnoliopsida; Malpighiales; Euphorbiaceae.
UGACGCAUUCUUCGGUGCAUGGACUUCACUGGAAAAUGGGGGGAAAAUUGGAUAAGAAAUAUUUGGAGUAAAAGAGAAUUAAAUACACACAAUAGCAGUCAAUUACAUGUUCUGAAUAGCACAACUCAACUAAUCGCUAAAACCAACUAGUAACAGAUGCACAUUUCUUUGAGAUUUUGAACCAUAACGUGAUCAAUAGUAUUUAAGUCAAAGCUUAAGACUUUCUUUCAAUAAAGCACAUGCUAAACACAUGGGCUAAUGACUACAGAUGUCUCAAGACUAAAACAAGAAAAAUGAAAGAAAAUUUUUUACCUCAAAACAUCAUUUGAGGGGGGAAAAUUCAGGAUAUCAACUUAUCUCUAGCCUUGAACAAAGUAAUACUACCACUCUACUUAUUUUAUUUCAGUUGCAUGAUGAUUGAUGAUAAGGAUCCUUUAUACUGAUAGCCCCCAAGGGCUAUGCCAACCUGCCCUCAAUACAACAUGUAGAAUAGAAUGAGAAACGUAACUCACAUAAGGUAUUUUUCUGAUCCACAGAAAAUUAGCACUUGGUAAUUUUCAGCUAAAAUAUAGUCUACUAGAAAUUCUUCACUAAACACAUCUGAGUAGAGAAGCACAGAACUGCAUGAAUAUAUAUAUAUAUAUAUAUGCAC